UACGUAGGGUGCGAGCGUUAAUCGGAAUUACUGGGCGUAAAGGGUGCGCAGGCGGUUCUGCAAGUCAGGCGUGAAAGCCCCGGGCUUAACCUGGGAAUGGCGCUUGAAACUACAGGACUGGAGUAUGGCAGAGGGAGGUGGAACUCCACGUGUAGCGGUGAAAUGCGUAGAGAUGUGGAGGAACACCGAUGGCGAAGGCAGCCUCCUGGGCCAAUACUGACGCUCAUGCACGAAAGCGUGGGGAGCAAACAGG
RNAcentral lists this ribosomal RNA (253 nucleotides) under uncultured bacterium. RNAcentral's name for it is "partial 16S ribosomal RNA". It matches the Rfam family "Bacterial small subunit ribosomal RNA", at positions 524 to 776 of the family's 1533-position model. The record is from RNAcentral.